CCUACGGGAGGCAGCAGUGGGGAAUUUUGGACAAUGGACGAAAGUCUGAUCCAGCCAUGCCGCGUGCGGGAAGAAGGCCUUCGGGUUGUAAACCGCUUUUGUCAGGGAAGAAAUCUUCUGGGUUAACACCUCGGGAGGAUGACGGUACCUGAAGAAUAAGCACCGGCUAACUACGUGCCAGCAGCCGCGGUAAUACGUAGGGUGCGAGCGUUAAUCGGAAUUACUGGGCGUAAAGCGUGCGCAGGCGGUUAUAUAAGACAGAGGUGAAAUCCCCGGGCUCAACCUGGGAACUGCCUUUGUGACUGUAUAGCUUGAGUGCGGCAGAGGGGGAUGGAAUUCCGCGUGUAGCAGUGAAAUGCGUAGAUAUGCGGAGGAACACCGAUGGCGAAGGCAAUCCCCUGGGCCUGCACUGACGCUCAUGCACGAAAGCGUGGGGAGCAAACAGGAUUAGAUACCCUGGUAGUCCACGCCCUAAACGAUGUCAACUGGUUGUUGGGAAGGUUCCUUCUCAGUAACGAAGCUAACGCGUGAAGUUGACCGCCUGGGGNGGACGGCGCGAGUAGAACGACAAUAAAUAGUAGCGUGAGAGUGCCGACGGACGACGACGAGGGAGGAGG
RNAcentral lists this ribosomal RNA (617 nucleotides) under uncultured bacterium. RNAcentral's name for it is "bacterial SSU rRNA". The stretch from base 1 to 542 matches the Rfam family "Bacterial small subunit ribosomal RNA", at positions 338 to 873 of the family's 1533-position model. The record is from RNAcentral.